UAUUUAUAAUAGUAAACUUCACGUUGAGAGCUGUUUACUAAAUAAUUUUCAUGUUUACCUUUUCAAAGGAAAUUCAAGCUCGAUUAGAUGGAAAAAGGAAGUUUUUAGUAAUAACAUAAACUAAAAUAAGAUAAGGAUAAUAUUCAAGAAGAUUUGCAAACUUAGCUACUUGGUCUUAUUAAAUGUGAUUCAAUUGUUCAUAUUACUUUAUUAUUUAUAUAAUAAUUACUCUAACUAAUUUUUAGGAAAAGAUUGUUUUUCAUUCUUUAAGGUUUUAAAGACAAAAUUUAUAAUUUUAUUUUAGGAGUAGAAUUAGGCCUUUGGACUUUAUAUAAGAUAAAAACAGCUGUCUUUGAGAAGGAAAAGAGAGGUUCGAUUGCAAUUUUACGUGGCUAUUAGAGAAAAAUUUAACAAUAUACAUAAUAUGGAUCCUUCAGAAGAAAACUUUUCCCAAGUUGACAGAGGAGGUUAGUUCGUAUUACUUACCAGUAUACCAAAAAAAAUACAUAUAUUUUGUGAAAUAAUGCUUUACGAUCACACGGGAUAAAUAAUAAGGUAUUUUACUGUUUAGAAUAUCGUAGAAGUCGUUUAUAAUGAUCAUUAUGUUCUUCGUAUUUUACAACUGAUAAAGCAUCUUAUAAAAUGAAAUAUAUCCACAAAAUCUUUAUUAACAUAUUUAAGAUGUUUUAAAUAAUACAUAGACAUUAUUAUCCAUUAUUUCUUGUAGCCUAGUCAUGAUGAAAUAUUUAUUUAAUUUUAAUAUUAUAUCAAGGAUAAUCUAACGACCCAUUUCAAAUAUUCCCGGUAGGACUUGUACUCAGUAUAAUUUUACAUAUGUAUAUAUUUGACUUCAUAUCUACUUUAACUCUUUUGAUAAUGGCUAUCGAAAGUGAAAUAAAACUUUUAAACAAAAUAUUAUCAAUUCUAAAAGGCCUAGGCAAUUUAACUAAGAUUAAUCAACGAUAACCCAGUGAAAGUUAAUGAUCUGUGAAAGGCUUAAAGCUUUAGUCUCCUGUGAAUAGUGGAAGCAUUCGUUAGAGCUGUAAAAAUUAACCCAGAGGUUGACUUACUGAAGAAAAGUUUGAAUAUUGGGGAUUUUCUCUCAGAAAGAUAACUCGUUGAUUUCUCUUGCCAAUAUAUAAUUAUGUUAUUUUAGGCAUACAACUUCCAAUCUCGAAAAUAUGUAUCAAGAAUCUGGAAACAGUAUAACAAGUGAUCUGAUCGAAUAUGGAAGUGAUUUUGCUGCGGGAUUAGCAGGAGGAUGCGCUGGUUUGACUUUUGGACAUCCUUUCGACACCAUAAAGGUUCGACAACAGACAAUGGGCGACAAAUGCGGUACUAUAUUAAAUUGCUUAAAAAGAUCAUUGGAAUUGGAAGGGCCUAAAGGUCUAUUCAAAGGAAUGGCCUUCCCACUCGUGUCAGUUGGCUUUCUAAAUAGUAUCUUUUUUGGUGUGUACGGAAACGCUCUAAAGUUUAUAGAUAACGGUGAUAAGGAACCUUCAUACUCGUCAAUUUUCAUGUCUGGCGCUUUUGCGGGGGCUAUACAAGCUGUUCCCGCUUCUACGAUAGAGCUAGUCAAAGUUAAACUUCAAGGUCAAAUAGGCAGAAAUGAAUUCAAGGGGCCUUUCGAUUGCCUUCGACGCAUCUAUAAAAAUCAUGGAAUACGUGGAUGUUUUCGUGGAUUGACACCAACAAUUUUGAGGGACAUGCCGGGUUUUGGAGUGUAUAUUGCAUCUUAUCAAGCUAUGUGUGAUUUUGCGACGCCAGAGGGUCAUCAUCAACCAUCAGUAAGAGCUAUGUUGUUAUCUGGCGGAUUGGGGGGAGUAUUUUCGUGGAUCGUUAACAUCCCAAUUGAUAUAGUGAAGAGUCGCCUCCAGGCUGACAAUCUUUCUAAUCCUAAGUACAAAAGUUCUUGGGACUGUGUUCAACAAAGUUAUAGAAAUAAUGGGUGGAGAGUAUUUUGGAGAGGUUUACCUGUUUCUUGCCUCAGGGCUUUCCCUGUCAACUCAGUUACUUUCGUUGUCUAUUCUCAAACACUAGCUUACAUUCAGAGGACAAACGGUCAGCGUCAAACUGUCUGAAAAUACUGGGAUUCAAAAAGAAUUGUAGAAUACUGCAAAAAAGAUAAAAUACAACUAAUCAAGACAAUAGACAUAUAUGCGAUUGAGAAUAUAUUUCAUUGUAUUAUAUUUAUUUAUGAAAAUCUAUUCAUAAAUUACAUGUGUAUGUGCGGAUGGAAAACCAAGAGGCCAAUAUGCAAUAUGAACUGACUUUGUUGUAUUGUCAAAAUAAAUUUGAUAUUAAUUUUAUAAUUUCCAUAUACAUAUAUGUAAUGAAAUUCUAUAAAAAAUUUAUUCUAACCAAAUAGAUUGUUACUUAAACGAUGGUCUUCCUAGAAGCCUGAAUAUUAAUAUAAUUUUUAACUUUGAACUUGAGACCUUAUGAAAAAUAUGAGUUAUCGCAAAUUAGGCUAAAUUAUAUUAGAAAAUAUUCGUGACGUAUCAAUGAUAAAUAUCUAAUAAAGCCUUUUCACUUUAUAAGAUUAUUAGUG
RNAcentral lists this unclassified non-coding RNA (2551 nucleotides) under Dimorphilus gyrociliatus. RNAcentral's name for it is "dgyrCDS10975". The record is from RNAcentral. Lineage: Eukaryota; Metazoa; Annelida; Polychaeta; Dinophilidae.